GCUAGACACACAAAAAAAAGACAAUCACCACAGCCUUCCAAGAAGAUGGACUGCCUCACAAUAGUUUCCUUGAGGACUGUCUUGAAAUAUCCAGAGUUUAAGAUUCAAGAAACGGACUCUAUCUGGAAAAGGAAAACAAUAUCAAAGCUCCUCUGUGAGAAGUUGGCCAAGGAAAGCAUUCAGAAGAAAGUGGAGAUUCAUUGUUUUUACCAGAUCCAGCAGAUCACAGAAAGCAUCUAGUAGGGGAGGUCUACAGAUCGAAGCAUGCCAAACGUGUAAAGAACAAGUUUCCAGGAUUAAGCCAGCCAGUAGAUGAGACUAUCAUAUCAAAAAUACAUUUACUUGUACACGAGGGCACACAAAGCGUUGAUGAAACAAAAAGACAUUUCCGUCUGUUUGUAAAGGAUACUAUUUCACCAGGGAACACCAUCUCAGAAUUUAACAGAUGCUUUUACCCCGCCAAUAAGGAUGUAAGAAAUCACAUUUACAGGGCACCGAGAUUUUGCCAGGUAGUUUAGAACUGUGUGCAUUGGUUUUGGAAGAAUUUGGGCUGUUUAGGCUAAAAUCCAUUAUGAUUGGACAGAAUAUGAACACACACAUCCAAUACUUCAAAGAUAUUAUGUUUGUGGAGGCAGAGAUUUUGAUUGCAUCCACUGUUUAGAAUACAUCCUUAAGGGAAGCAGACUGCCGCCUUUACCCAGUGAUAUAAUGAUUAAUCAU
Long non-coding RNA from Ostrea edulis (European flat oyster), 720 nucleotides. RefSeq lists it as uncharacterized. Lineage: Eukaryota; Metazoa; Mollusca; Bivalvia; Ostreida; Ostreidae. The transcript is spliced from 6 exons. The record is from RefSeq and is a predicted model, not a curated record.